UAGGGAAUCUUCCGCAAUGGGCGAAAGCCUGACGGAGCAACGCCGCGUGAGUGAUGAAGGUCUUCGGAUCGUAAAACUCUGUUAUUAGGGAAGAACAAAUGUGUAAGUAACUAUGCACGUCUUGACGGUACCUAAUCAGAAAGCCACGGCUAACUACGUGCCAGCAGCCGCUGUAAUACGUAGGUGGCAAGCGUUAUCCGGAAUUAUUGGGCGUAAAGCGCGCGUAGGCGGUUUUUUAAGUCUGAUGUGAAAGCCCACGGCUCAACCGUGGAGGGUCAUUGGAAACUGGAAAACUUGAGUGCAGAAGAGGAAAGUGGAAUUCCAUGUGUAGCGGUGAAAUGCGCAGAGAUAUGGAGGAACACCAGUGGCGAAGGCGACUUUCUGGUCUGUAACUGACGCUGAUGUGCGAAAGCGUGGGGAUCAAACAGG
This 429-nucleotide ribosomal RNA is filed under the name Actinomycetes bacterium. RNAcentral describes it as "Actinobacteria bacterium partial 16S ribosomal RNA". It matches the Rfam family "Bacterial small subunit ribosomal RNA", at positions 355 to 776 of the family's 1533-position model. The record is from RNAcentral. Lineage: Bacteria; Bacillati; Actinomycetota; Actinomycetes.